AGAUGGUGAACUGUGCCUGUGAAAUUUGAAGCCAAAGCAAACUCUGAUGGAAGGACUAACGAUUCUGAUGUUCAAGUAUAUUAAAUGUGAUGAGUAUAAGGAUGAAAGACUUGUCAGACCAUCUAGUAG
This 129-nucleotide non-coding RNA is filed under the name Trichobilharzia regenti. Lineage: Eukaryota; Metazoa; Platyhelminthes; Trematoda; Strigeidida; Schistosomatidae. The record is from Rfam by way of RNAcentral.